This 110-nucleotide microRNA precursor is filed under the name Glycine max (soybean). RNAcentral's name for it is "miR391 stem-loop (gma-MIR391)". Its record names the gene gma-MIR391. Lineage: Eukaryota; Viridiplantae; Streptophyta; Magnoliopsida; Fabales; Fabaceae. The record is from miRBase by way of RNAcentral.
AAGGUUUGCUACGCAGGAGAGAUGACGCUGUCCCUUGCACCCAUCCUAGCUUCCCUUGAGUAGGUAAGAGCAAGGCCAGCCAGCAUCAUAUCUCCUGCAUAGUAAACCUU